This 434-nucleotide ribosomal RNA is filed under the name bacterium enrichment culture clone ALO1_GLFRUDD03HH1I7. RNAcentral describes it as "bacterial SSU rRNA". It matches the Rfam family "Bacterial small subunit ribosomal RNA", at positions 9 to 450 of the family's 1533-position model. The record is from RNAcentral.
GAGUUUGAUCGUGGCUCAGAUUGAACGCUGGCGGCAUGCCUUACACAUGCAAGUCGAACGGCAGCACGGGAGCUUGCUCCUGGUGGCGAGUGGCGAACGGGUGAGUAAUGCAUCGGAACGUAUCCUGGAGUGGGGGAUAACGUAGCGAAAGUUACGCUAAUACCGCAUAUUCUGUGAGCAGGAAAGCGGGGGACCUUCGGGCCUCGCGCUCUUGGAGCGGCCGAUGUCGGAUUAGCUAGUUGGUGAGGUAAAGGCUCACCAAGGCGACGAUCCGUAGCAGGUCUGAGAGGAUGAUCUGCCACACUGGAACUGAGACACGGUCCAGACUCCUACGGGAGGCAGCAGUGGGAUUUGGACAAUGGGGGCAACCCUGAUCCAGCCAUGCCGCGUGAGUGAAGAAGGCCUCGGUGUAAGUACUCUUCGUCGAGGAGAAG